CCUACGGGACGCAGCAGUGGGGAAUAUUGCACAAUGGGCGCAAGCCUGAUGCAGCCAUGCCGCGUGUGUGAAGAAGGCCUUCGGGUUGUAAAGCACUUUCAGCGGGGAGGAGGGCGGUGAGGUUAAUAACCUCAUCGAUUGACGUUACCCGCAGAAGAAGCACCGGCUAACUCCGUGCCAGCAGCCGCGGUAAUACGGAGGGUGCAAGCGUUAAUCGGAAUUACUGGGCGUAAAGCGCACGCAGGCGGUCUGUCAAGUCGGAUGUGAAAUCCCCGGGCUCAACCUGGGAACUGCAUUCGAAACUGGCAGGCUAGAGUCUUGUAGAGGGGGGUAGAAUUCCAGGUAUAGCGGUGAAAUGCGUAGAGAUCUGGAGGAAUACCGGUGGCGAAGGCGGCCCCCUGGACAAAGACUGACGCUCAGGUGCGAAAGCGUGGGGAGCAAACAGGAUUAGAUACCCCGGUAGUC
This 465-nucleotide ribosomal RNA is filed under the name uncultured bacterium. Its description in RNAcentral is "bacterial SSU rRNA". It matches the Rfam family "Bacterial small subunit ribosomal RNA", at positions 338 to 795 of the family's 1533-position model. The record is from RNAcentral.